This 517-nucleotide long non-coding RNA is filed under the name Marmota monax (woodchuck). Lineage: Eukaryota; Metazoa; Chordata; Mammalia; Rodentia; Sciuridae. The record is from RNAcentral.
GGCUCCCCCACAGUGCAGGGCGGCCCCUCUGUUCCAGCCUCUCAGGGAACCAGCUGGAAGACGAAGGCUGCCGACUCCUGGCUGAGGCUGCUUCCCGCCUGCACAUUGCCAGGAAGCUGGAGUGAGUUGCCACCCACCCCUGGGUGACAGGAGCGUCCUGGAGAGCCCCCAGAAGGUCCCUGCCACCCCUGGUCCCUGUGCCACAGUCAGUAGUAAUGCUGCUAAUGCACCCGCCACCUCACUUUCUCCCAACUCCAGCCUUGCCUGGCUGAGCCACCAUCUCCACGCCAGCCAUUUAACCCCUUGCGCUUGGAGAGUGCGCUCACGGUCAUCGUCGGUGGCUUGUGGACCUGUUUGUCCUUUCAGUAGCACCGGAGUAGGGGGCAAAGGGGUUGCAGUGGGGCAGAACUGAGGCUUUGGGUGGACGGGUGCCAGAGUGACGGAUUAAGUAGGAGGUGGUGCCUUCGUUUGGGCUCGUCUGGGGGUGAAGGGGUGGGGUGCUGGGUGUUGAGAUGGG